CCCCUUCCUCCGUCCGGAGCCCACAGACUGUCCGGGUGCAGCAGUAACAUACCUCUGUGCCCUACACUCUGGCCCACACAUCUUAAAGGUCAGUCCCCUUCCUCCGUCCGGAGCCCACAGACUGUCCAGGUGCAGCAGUAACAUACCUCUGUGCCCUACACUCUGGCCCACACAUCCUAAAGGUCAGUCCCCUUCCUCCGUCCGGAGCCCACAGACUGUCCAGGUGCAGCAGUAACAUACCUCUGUGCCCUACACUCUGGCCCACACAUCCUAAAGGUCAGUCCCCUUCCUCCGUCCGGAGCCCACAGACUGUCCAGGUGCAGCAGUAACAUACCUCUGUGCCCUACACUCUGGCCCACACAUCCUAAAGGUCAGUCCCCUUCCUCCGUCCGGAGCC
Oncorhynchus tshawytscha (Chinook salmon) is the source of this 397-nucleotide long non-coding RNA. RefSeq lists it as uncharacterized. The transcript has 2 exons. Lineage: Eukaryota; Metazoa; Chordata; Actinopteri; Salmoniformes; Salmonidae. The record is from RefSeq and is a predicted model, not a curated record.